UAGGAUAAGUCUGUGGGUUGGGCUAGUCUGAUGUGAGACAGUGAGAGAAUUUAUUAAGAGGAGUCCGUCAAACAGCUGAGAUAAUCAGUCAGAAGGGAUGCUAGUCCCAUUAAUUUCCAUGGGACUUCCUACUGAAAUUCUGCUGAGCUUCACAGCCUGGGAUAUUUAUUGUAGCAACAUUGAAAAUAGAUACACACAUGCUCAAACUUCUCAGCUCCAAGAAAGUGAUGUGUCUCCAAGUCUUAGAUAAGGAUCUUGUUUCAGCUCUGCAGAUGAUGGGAAACUGAAAUAGUCUGGAACAACCUGUGCAGAUUACAAUAUCAGUAAAAGUUAUGCACAUGCACACACAGAGAGAUGCUAGAUUGUGUGGAUUAUAGGCAUCUGAAAUGGUAGUAAGAAGAAAGUCUAAAAAUGUCGUGCCAGCCGGAUGAAAAUUGAAGAAGUUGAGAAGUCCCAAGCUCCCUUUGGUGUGCAAAACUAGUUGUGUUGUGCUUUGGGUCCACAUUCCUGUAUAGUUUAAUUUAUCAUUUUCAGCUUUUCAUCCAUCUACUUUAUGCAGGUUAUUUUACUAAUAUAAUUGGAUGUCAUGCUCCAUAGUGGUGUUUUGCAGCUGACGGAUGAUUUAAAAUGUAAGCUUUACGAACACGACAAUGUCAA
Podarcis muralis (Common wall lizard) is the source of this 657-nucleotide long non-coding RNA. RefSeq lists it as uncharacterized. The record is from RefSeq and is a predicted model, not a curated record. NCBI's taxonomy places the organism in Eukaryota, Metazoa, Chordata, Lepidosauria, Squamata, Lacertidae.